CUGGAAAGAUUCAGGACUGCUGGUUCUCGUCCGAACACCGAAGUUAAACAAUGUCGGGCCCGGUCAGUACUUGGGAGGGAGAUAGGAACGAUCAGCUAUUUCCUU
Cordylochernes scorpioides is the source of this 105-nucleotide non-coding RNA. NCBI's taxonomy places the organism in Eukaryota, Metazoa, Arthropoda, Arachnida, Pseudoscorpiones, Chernetidae. The record is from the annotation of a GenBank genome assembly.